UUAAGUGAAGCCAAAGUAGAGGCUUAUCACUGUUAAUGAUAGAAUUGGGGUUACCCCCCACUUAAG
RNAcentral lists this transfer RNA (66 nucleotides) under Epeorus sp. MT-2014. Its description in RNAcentral is "tRNA-Asn". Lineage: Eukaryota; Metazoa; Arthropoda; Insecta; Ephemeroptera; Heptageniidae. The record is from RNAcentral.